GCGGGCGUAGUUUAGUGGCAGAACGUCAGCUUCCCAAGCUGAAGGUGUGGGUUCGAUUCCCAUCGCCCGCUCCA
This 74-nucleotide transfer RNA is filed under the name Symbiobacteriaceae bacterium. Its description in RNAcentral is "tRNA-Gly". It matches the Rfam family "tRNA". From Rfam's summary of the family: Transfer RNA (tRNA) molecules are approximately 80 nucleotides in length. Their secondary structure includes four short double-helical elements and three loops (D, anti-codon, and T loops). Lineage: Bacteria; Bacillati; Bacillota; Clostridia; Eubacteriales; Symbiobacteriaceae. The record is from RNAcentral.